AAAUGAACCUAAUCAAAUUAGGAGCUCAAUUAUCUCAUUAAAUUCCAAACCCAAUUAGAAAUUAGCUGAGUCUAAGUCCUAAUCGAAUCAGGAUCAAAUUUUUCUUAUAAAUAGGCUUGAUCAUAUCAAACCCAAUCUAAGUUGAACUGAAUCUAAUUCAAUUAGAUGUGAUUCAAAGCUCUUUACUCAAUCAAAUUAAGUUAAUUAAUAAUCUAAUUACUAAUUAAUUUUUUAUUAAUAGUAGAGUCACAGUCUAAUGAGACACUCUUUCAGAGUUUCAAUCCCAGUAGGACUCCUCACCAGUGUCUCAAUCCAAUUAGACUCUUCAGCCA
This 332-nucleotide long non-coding RNA is filed under the name Elaeis guineensis (African oil palm). Its description in RNAcentral is "long non-coding RNA (EGUI_LNC078044)". Lineage: Eukaryota; Viridiplantae; Streptophyta; Magnoliopsida; Arecales; Arecaceae. The record is from RNAcentral.